Cydia amplana is the source of this 533-nucleotide long non-coding RNA. RefSeq lists it as uncharacterized. The transcript is spliced from 2 exons. The record is from RefSeq and is a predicted model, not a curated record. NCBI's taxonomy places the organism in Eukaryota, Metazoa, Arthropoda, Insecta, Lepidoptera, Tortricidae.
AAAUACAGUGUGUCCCUAGCCGUUGGACAAAGCCGAAAUGUACAUAUGCAUUAGGGUAUUUAAAACCAGUAUACAAAGUAUCAUAACAACCGGUGCAGCGGUUACGAAUCAUAAGUAAGAAAACCAUUUUUAGGGUUCCGUAGCCAAAUGGCAAAAAACGGAACCCUUAUAGAUUCGUCAUGUCUGUCUGUCUGUCUGUCCGUCCGUAUGUCACAGCCACUUUUCUCCGAAACUAUAAGAACUAUACUGUUGAAACUUGGUAAGUAGAUGUAUUCUGUGAACCGCAUUAAGAUUUUCACACAAAAAUAGAAAAAAAAACAAUAAAUUUUUGGGGUUCCCCAUACUUCGAACUGAAACUCAAAAAUUUUUUUUUCAUCAAACCCAUACGUGUUGGGUAUCUAUGGAUAGGUCUUCAAAAAUGAUAUUGAGGUUUCUAAUAUCAUUUUUUUCUAAACUGAAUAGUUUGCGCGAGAGACACUUCCAAACUGGUAAAAUGUGUGUCCCCCCCCCUGUAACUUCUAAAAUAAGAGAAU